AGAUUGAACGCUGGCGGCAUGCCUUACACAUGCAAGUCGAACGGCAGCACGGGAGCAAUCCUGGUGGCGAGUGGCGAACGGGUGAGUAAUAUAUCGGAACGUGCCCAGUCGUGGGGGAUAACGCAGCGAAAGCUGUGCUAAUACCGCAUACGAUCUAUGGAUGAAAGCGGGGGAUCGCAAGACCUCGCGCGAUUGGAGCGGCCGAUAUCAGAUUAGCUAGUUGUGGGUAAAAGCCUACCAAGGCGACGAUCUGUAGCUGGUCUGAGAGGACGACCAGCCACACUGGAACUGAGACACGGUCCAGACUCUACGGGAGGCAGCAGUGGGGAAUUUUGGACAAUGGGCGCAAGCCUGAUCCAGCAAUGCCGCGUGCAGGAUGAAGGCCUGGUUGUAACGUAGUCGUUUGUACGGUAACGAAACGGUUACUUCGUCUAAUACUAGGGACGUAAUAGACGGUACCGUAACGAAACGUAAGACACCGACUAACGUAACGUACG
Molecule: ribosomal RNA, 497 nt
Filed under: uncultured soil bacterium
Lineage: Bacteria
Description: bacterial SSU rRNA
Rfam family: Bacterial small subunit ribosomal RNA
Source: RNAcentral